Molecule: ribosomal RNA, 495 nt
Filed under: uncultured bacterium
Lineage: Bacteria
Description: partial 16S ribosomal RNA
Rfam family: Bacterial small subunit ribosomal RNA
Source: RNAcentral
GACGAACGCUGGCGGCGUGCCUAAUACAUGCAAGUAGAACGCUGAAGGAGGAGCUUGCUCUUCUGGAUGAGUUGCGAACGGGUGAGUAACGCGUAGGUAACCUGCCUGGUAGCGGGGGAUAACUAUUGGAAACGAUAGCUAAUACCGCAUAAGAGUAGAUGUUGCAUGACAUUUGCUUAAAAGGUGCAAUUGCAUCACUACCAGAUGGACCUGCGUUGUAUUAGCUAGUUGGUGGGGUAACGGCUCACCAAGGCGACGAUACAUAGCCGACCUGAGAGGGUGAUCGGCCACACUGGGACUGAGACACGGCCCAGACGCCUACGGGAGGCAGCAGUAGGGAAUCUUCGGCAAUGGACGGAAGUCUGACCGAGCAACGCCGCGGGAGUGAAGAAGGUUGUCGGAUCGUAAAGCUCUGUUGUAAGAGAAGAACGAGUGUGAGAGUGGAAAGUUCACACUGUGACGGUAUCUGACCAGAAAGGGACGGCUAACUACGUG